This 700-nucleotide long non-coding RNA is filed under the name Chrysemys picta bellii (western painted turtle). RNAcentral describes it as "lncRNA (ENSCPBG00000005088.1)". The record is from RNAcentral. Lineage: Eukaryota; Metazoa; Chordata; Testudines; Emydidae.
AUGAUGUAUUCUUCAUGUUCUACAGUGAACUGGAGGAGGAUGUCCCUCUUGGCUGCUGAGAUUCCCUCAAUAUUGAAGUGCACCAUCUUGAGAGCUGACCUCAACACAAGAUUGUCAAGACGUUGGGGCUUAUGGAGGACGACAACAAGUUGCUCAAGAAAAGGAAAAUAAACUUCUGGCUGUAGCCUAAGUAAAUGGGUUCUGCUCGUGGGAACUAUGCAAGAGUUUGGGGGAUGAAAUCCUUCAACUUGGGGACAGGCUGAGAAACUGCAGUGCAACCCCUCUGCUACCAUUACUGCAGCUUCAUCACAGCAGUGGUGUCUGAGGCCCUUUGAUAAGCCCUGUGUUUGGCUUCAAGUCAGUAGAUCUGCAUGUUAUGGAGCCACUGUAUAAAACUAUCUUCUAAAUAGCUUAGGCUUGCUGUGGAUCGGACUGUUGAGCUGUACUCACGCAGAAGAUAUGUUGUCCUCCUGCAGAGCUUCUCUGUGUUUUUCCCUUCUAUUGUAGUAGAACUGAAUUGGUUCUGUUGAGAGUGGGGCAUCUGUCACUCCUUACAUCGUGUCCUGGAGGAUUUGCCCUUUCAAUCACAUGGUCCAAAGUCAACUGAAGUCACCAGAAAGAUUCACAUUGAGUUCAGUGGUUUUUGGAUCAGGCCCUGAUAAACAAUAAAGUAGGAAAGAAAGAAAAAGAAAUCCCUUCU